GAUGAACGCUGGCGGCGUGCCUAACACAUGCAAGUCGAGCGAUUUACUUCGGUAAAGAGCGGCGGACGGGUGAGUAACGCGUGGGUAACCUGCCCUGUACACACGGAUAACAUACCGAAAGGUAUGCUAAUACGAGAUAAUAUGCUUUUAUCGCAUGGUAGAAGUAUCAAAGCUUUUGCGGUACAGGAUGGACCCGCGUCUGAUUAGCUAGUUGGUGAGGUAACGGCCCACCAAGGCGACGAUCAGUAGCCGACCUGAGAGGGUGAUCGGCCACAUUGGAACUGAGACACGGUCCAAACUCCUACGGGAGGCAGCAGUGGGGAAUAUUGCACAAUGGGCGAAAGCCUGAUGCAGCAACGCCGCGUGAGCGAUGAAGGCCUUCGGGUCGUAAAGCUCUGUCCUCAAGGAAGAUAAUGACGGUACUUGAGGAGGAAGCCCCGGCUAACUACGUG
RNAcentral lists this ribosomal RNA (452 nucleotides) under uncultured bacterium. RNAcentral's name for it is "partial 16S ribosomal RNA". It matches the Rfam family "Bacterial small subunit ribosomal RNA", at positions 28 to 507 of the family's 1533-position model. The record is from RNAcentral.